AAGUUAUAUAUAUGGAUAUGUGG
RNAcentral lists this non-coding RNA (23 nucleotides) under Cricetulus griseus (Chinese hamster). The record is from RNAcentral. Lineage: Eukaryota; Metazoa; Chordata; Mammalia; Rodentia; Cricetidae.